Paramuricea clavata is the source of this 99-nucleotide non-coding RNA. NCBI's taxonomy places the organism in Eukaryota, Metazoa, Cnidaria, Anthozoa, Malacalcyonacea, Plexauridae. The record is from the annotation of a GenBank genome assembly.
UGCUGAGUGGUUAUAUUACUACCUGAAAUAAACAAGCAGAAACUUGACGUAACUCGUUUCUGCUUGUUUAUUUCAGGUAGUAAUAUAACCACUCAGCAU